UAUUAUGGGAUUAGUUUUUAGAUUAUUUAUAGUCUAUUAAUUCAAUCCCGGGGCGUUCUAUUUGGUUAUGUAUAAUAAUAUUUAUAUUAUUUAUACCUCUAACUAGAGCGUACCUUGAGCAUAUAUGCUGUGACCCGAAAGAUGGUGAACUAUACUUGAUCAGGUUGAAGUCAGGGGAAACCCUGAUGGAAGACCGAAACAGUUCUGACGUGCAAAUCGAUUGUCAGAAUUGAGUAUAGGGGCGAAAGACCAAUCGAACCAUCUAGUAGCUGGUUCCCUCCGAAGUUUCCCUCAGGAUAGCUGGUGCAUUUAGAAAUUAUGUAAAAUAAUCUUAUCUGGUAAAGCGAAUGAUUAGAGGCCUUAGGGUCGAAACGACCUUAACCUAUUCUCAAACUUUAAAUGGGUAAGAACCUCACCUUUCUUGGUAUGAAGGUUGUGGUUGUGAUAUAAUGUGCCCAGUGGGCCACUUUUGGUAAGCAGAACUGGCGCUGUGGGAUGAACCAAACGUAAUGUUACGGUGCCCAAAUUAACAACUCAUGCAGAUACCAUGAAAGGCGUUGGUUGCUUAAAACAGCACGACGGUGGACAUGGAAGUCGUAAUCCGC
This 605-nucleotide ribosomal RNA is filed under the name Ravinia derelicta. RNAcentral describes it as "eukaryotic LSU rRNA". It matches the Rfam family "Eukaryotic large subunit ribosomal RNA", at positions 727 to 1271 of the family's 3401-position model. Lineage: Eukaryota; Metazoa; Arthropoda; Insecta; Diptera; Sarcophagidae. The record is from RNAcentral.